Molecule: ribosomal RNA, 253 nt
Filed under: uncultured bacterium
Lineage: Bacteria
Description: partial 16S ribosomal RNA
Rfam family: Bacterial small subunit ribosomal RNA
Source: RNAcentral
UACGUAGGGGGCAAGCGUUGUCCGGAUUUAUUGGGCGUAAAGAGCGUGUAGGCGGCCAGAUAGGUCCGUUGUGAAAACUGGAGGCUUAACCUCCAGCUGUCGAUGGAAACCAUCUGGCUAGAGUCCGGAAGAGGAGAGUGGAAUUCCUGGUGUAGCGGUGAAAUGCGCAGAUAUCAGGAAGAACACCGGUGGCGAAGGCGGGUCUCUGGGCAGUAACUGACGCUGAGGAGCGAAAGCGUGGGGAGCGAACAGG